Molecule: ribosomal RNA, 492 nt
Filed under: uncultured bacterium
Lineage: Bacteria
Description: partial 16S ribosomal RNA
Rfam family: Bacterial small subunit ribosomal RNA
Source: RNAcentral
AGUGAACGCUGGCGGUAGGCCUAACACAUGCAAGUCGAACGGCAGCGCAGUAAGAGCUUGCUCUUACGGGUGGCGAGUGGCGGACGGGUGAGGAAUACAUCGGAAUCUACUUUUUCGUGGGGGAUAACGUAGGGAAACUUACGCUAAUACCGCAUACGACCUACGGGUGAAAGCAGGGGAUCUUCGGACCUUGCGCGAGUGAAUGAGCCGAUGUCGGAUUAGCUAGUUGGCGGGGUACAGGCCCACCAAGGCGACGAUCGGUAGCUGGUCUGAGAGGAGGAUCAGCCACACUGGGACUGAGACACGGUCCAGACUCCUACGGGAGGCAGCAGUGGGGAAUAGUGGACAAUGGGCGCAAGCCUGAUCCAGCCAUACCGCGUGGGUGAAGAAGGCCUGCGGGUUGUAAAGCCCUUUUGUGGGGAAAGAAAAGCAGCAGGUUAAUACCCCGCUGUUCUGACGGUACCCAAAGAAUAAGCACCGGCUAACUUCGUG